CAACAUAGAUUUAGCAGCUACACUUAUCUGGGAAACCUGGCAAUGUUAUAAUUAAAGGCCCACUAUAGGCACCCAGAUCACUUCAGCUCAAUGAAGUGGUCUGGGUGCCAGGUCCCCCGGGCUUUAACCCUUCAGAUGUAAACCUAGCCGUUUCAGAGAAACGGCUAUCUUUACAUAGCAGGGUUAAUCCAGCCACUAGUGGUUGUCUCCCUGACAGCCGCUAGAGGCCGCUUCCGCGAUUCUCAG
Molecule: non-coding RNA, 246 nt
Organism: Pelobates cultripes (western spadefoot toad)
Lineage: Eukaryota; Metazoa; Chordata; Amphibia; Anura; Pelobatidae
Source: the annotation of a GenBank genome assembly